GCAGCAGUGGGGAAUAUUGGACAAUGGGCGAAAGCCUGAUCCAGCAAUGCCGCGUGAGUGAUGAAGGCCUUAGGGUUGUAAAGCUCUUUUACCCGGGAUGAUAAUGACAGUACCGGGAGAAUAAGCCCCGGCUAACUCCGUGCCAGCAGCCGCGGUAAUACGGAGGGGGCUAGCGUUGUUCGGAAUUACUGGGCGUAAAGCGCACGUAGGCGGCUUUGUAAGUUAGAGGUGAAAGCCCAGGGCUUAACCCUGGAAUUGCCUUUAAGACUGCAUCGCUAGAAUCGUGGAGAGGUAAGUGGAAUUCCGAGUGUAGCAGGUGAAAUGUCGUAGAUAUCUCAGGAGAGAACACCAGUGGCGAAGGCGAGCUUCUCACUGGACACGUAUGACG
Molecule: ribosomal RNA, 388 nt
Filed under: uncultured soil bacterium
Lineage: Bacteria
Description: bacterial SSU rRNA
Rfam family: Bacterial small subunit ribosomal RNA
Source: RNAcentral